GACGAACCGUGCGAACGUUGUUCGGAUUCACUGGGCUUAAAGGGCGCGUAGGCGGGCGCGUAAGUCCGGGGUGAAAGCCUCCAGCUCAACUGGAGAACAGCCCUGGAUACUGCGGGCCUCGAGGGGGGUAGGGGCGGGCGGAACUUCCGGUGGAGCGGUGAAAUGCGUAGAGAUCGGGAGGAACAUCAGUUGCGAAGGCGGCUCUCUGGACCAGCACUGACACUGAGGCACGAAAGCGUGGGGAGCAAACAGG
RNAcentral lists this ribosomal RNA (253 nucleotides) under uncultured bacterium. Its description in RNAcentral is "partial 16S ribosomal RNA". It matches the Rfam family "Bacterial small subunit ribosomal RNA", at positions 524 to 776 of the family's 1533-position model. The record is from RNAcentral.